GACGAACGCUGGCGGCGCGCCUAACACAUGCAAGUCGAACGAGAGAUGAGGAGCUUGCUCUUCAAAUCGAGUGGCGAACGGGUGAGUAACGCGUGAGGAACCUGCCUCAAAGAGGGGGACAACAGUUGGAAACGACUGCUAAUACCGCAUAAGCCCACGGCUCGGCAUCGAGCAGAGGGAAAAGGAGCAAUCCGCUUUGAGAUGGCCUCGCGUCCGAUUAGCUAGUUGGUGAGGUAACGGCCCACCAAGGCGACGAUCGGUAGCCGGACUGAGAGGUUGAACGGCCACAUUGGGACUGAGACACGGCCCAGACUCCUACGGGAGGCAGCAGUGGGGAAUAUUGCACAAUGGGGGAAACCCUGAUGCAGCGACGCCGCGUGGAGGAAGAAGGUCUUCGGAUUGUAAACUCCUGUUGUUGAGGAAGAUAAUGACGGUACUCAACAAGGAAGUGACGGCUAACUACGUGCCAGCAGCCGCGGUAAAACGUAGGUCACAAGCGUUGUCCGGAAUUACUGGGUGUAAAGGGAGCGCAGGCGGGAGAACAAGUUGGAAGUGAAAUCCAUGGGCUCAACCCAUGAACUGCUUUCAAAACUGUUUUUCUUGAGUAGUGCAGAGGUAGGCGGAAUUCCCGGUGUAGCGGUGGAAUGCGUAGAUAUCGGGAGGAACACCAGUGGCGAAGGCGGCCUACUGGGCACCAACUGACGCUGAGGCUCGAAAGUGUGGGUAGCAAACAGGAUUAGAUACCCUGGUAGUCCACACCGUAAACGAUGAUUACUAGGUGUUGGAGGAUUGACCCCUUCAGUGCCGCAGUUAACACAAUAAGUAAUCCACCUGGGGAGUACGACCGCAAGGUUGAAACUCAAAGGAAUUGACGGGGGCCCGCACAAGCAGUGGAGUAUGUGGUUUAAUUCGACGCAACGCGAAGAACCUUACCAAGUCUUGACAUCCUGCGACGCACAUAGAAAUAUGUGUUUCCUUCGGGACGCAGAGACAGGUGGUGCAUGGUUGUCGUCAGCUCGUGUCGUGAGAUGUUGGGUUAAGUCCCGCAACGAGCGCAACCCUUAUGGUCAGUUACUACGCAAGAGGACUCUGGCCAGACUGCCGUUGACGAAACGGAGGAAGGUGGGGAUGACGUCAAAUCAUCAUGCCCUUUAUGACUUGGGCUACACACGUACUACAAUGGCGUUAAACAAAGAGAAGCAAGACCGCGAGGUGGAGCAAAACUCAGAAACAACGUCCCAGUUCGGACUGCAGGCUGCAACUCGCCUGCACGAAGUCGGAAUUGCUAGUAAUCGUGGAUCAGCAUGCCACGGUGAAUACGUUCCCGGGCCU
Molecule: ribosomal RNA, 1332 nt
Filed under: uncultured bacterium
Lineage: Bacteria
Description: bacterial SSU rRNA
Rfam family: Bacterial small subunit ribosomal RNA
Source: RNAcentral